Molecule: small RNA, 52 nt
Filed under: unclassified sequences
Description: Streptococcus sRNA SpF59 (ldcC RNA)
Rfam family: Streptococcus sRNA SpF59 (ldcC RNA)
Source: Rfam by way of RNAcentral
UGACCACUAUUAAUUUAGGAAUGCCCAGACGGACAGGCGGGUCAGUUGCCGG